UACGGGGGGAGCAAGCGUUGUUCGGAUUUACUGGGCGUAAAGGGCGCGUAGGCGGUCGUGACAAGUCACUUGUGAAAUCUCCGGGCUUAACUCGGAACGGUCAAGUGAUACUGUCGGACUAGAGUACAGAAGGGGCAACUGGAAUUCUCGGUGUAGCGGUGAAAUGCGUAGAUAUCGAGAGGAACACCUGCGGCGAAGGCAGGUUGCUGGGCUGAUACUGACGCUGAGGCGCGAAAGCCAGGGGAGCGAACGGG
Molecule: ribosomal RNA, 254 nt
Filed under: uncultured bacterium
Lineage: Bacteria
Description: partial 16S ribosomal RNA
Rfam family: Bacterial small subunit ribosomal RNA
Source: RNAcentral